AUAUCAUUAAGCGGAGGAAAAGAAACUAACAAGGAUGCCCUCAGUAACGGCGAGUGAAGUGGGCAAAGCUCAAACUGAAAAUCCGUUCCCCAAGCGGGGGAUGCGAAUUGUAGUCUAUAGACGCGCUAGCAGCAGUGGGCCGGGUAUAAAUCUUUUGAAACAAGGUGUCAUAGAGGGUGAGAACCCCGUCCAUGACUCGGACUCCGUUGCGUACGCUGCGUGUUCAAAGAGUCGGGUUGCUUGGGAUUGCAGCCCUAAGUGGGUGGUAAACUUCAUCUAAAGCUAAAUAUUGGCGAGAGACCGAUAGCGAACAAGUACCGUGAGGGAAAGAUGAAAAGAACUUUGAAAAGAGAGUUAAAAAGUACUUGAAAUUGUUAAGAGGGAAGCACUGGAAACCAGUAUUACUGGGUAUUGUACUCGCCUAUCUGCGGCUUGGCGGUGGUGUGCCGGGAGUUUAACCCUCGGUUAUGUUACCAAAGAGUCGUCGGUGGGUCUAGCAGUGCCUAGUAGGUCAAAAUCAAUUUGCUUCGUGGGAGAAAGCUGUGGGGAAGGUAGGGCGGAGGGGCAACCCAAUGCCUGUUAUAGCCCUGCAGUCCUACCAUGGAGUGGAUUGA
RNAcentral lists this ribosomal RNA (614 nucleotides) under uncultured fungus. RNAcentral's name for it is "eukaryotic LSU rRNA". It matches the Rfam family "Eukaryotic large subunit ribosomal RNA", at positions 40 to 598 of the family's 3401-position model. Lineage: Eukaryota; Fungi. The record is from RNAcentral.